AUGUACUCCUGCGACGGCCGAGACCGCUCGGCCACGGCGGCGCGUAUCAUGGAGUCCAGCGCCAAGUACCAGCCAUGCAACACGGCGGCGACGCGGACGGCCGGCGGCCAGGUCCCCGCGGACGCGCAGCAGCAGCAGCCGUCGCCGCGGCGCGCCAGGAGGAAGCACUCGGCGUCGGCGUCGCGCCGGUCGUCAACCACCGUGGUGGCCACCGACGUGUCCAACUUCCGCGCCAUGGUGCAGGAGCUCACCGGCUUCCCGCCGGCCGCCAUCUUCAGGCCACUGCCGCGCCGGGCCCACGCCGCCGGCCGCUCCCUGGCCGCCGCCGCCGCGCAUGGGUGCGGCGGUGCGCUGCAGGGCCACCGUUCGGACGCGGCAACUGUCGCCGGCAGCGUCCCGGCAGUGGUGCAGCCGCUGGCGCACCCGCCGCAGUGCGCGCCGCCGGGCGUGUUUGACGGGCUGCCCGACCUCGGGUCGCCGGAGUUCGACACGUGGCCCGACUUGUCCUUCGAAUGA
This 516-nucleotide ribosomal RNA is filed under the name Triticum aestivum (bread wheat). Its description in RNAcentral is "partial small subunit ribosomal RNA". Lineage: Eukaryota; Viridiplantae; Streptophyta; Magnoliopsida; Poales; Poaceae. The record is from RNAcentral.